CGCGAAUGAUGAAGCUAUUUUAUUGCUGUAAACUCCUGAAUACCUGUGAGGAGAUACCUUGGAGAGCUGAGCGCUCG
Small nucleolar RNA from Bombina bombina (fire-bellied toad), 77 nucleotides. The record is from RefSeq and is a predicted model, not a curated record. Lineage: Eukaryota; Metazoa; Chordata; Amphibia; Anura; Bombinatoridae.